UGGAUCAAGGAGUAAUUUUGACUUUCAAAUCUUAUUAUUUCAGAAUUACAUCUUAUAAGGCUAUAGCUGCCAUAGAUUGAUGGAUGUGUGCAAAGUAAUUGAAAAACCUGGAAAGGAUUGACCAUUCUAGAUGCCCUUAAGAACAUUUGUGAUUCAUGGGAGGAGAUCAGAAUAUUGACAUUAACAGGAAUUUGGAAGAAGUUGAUUCCAGCCCUCAUGAGUGACUUUGAGGGGUUCAAGAUGUUAGUGGAGGAAGUAACUGCAGAUGUGAUGGAAAUAGCAAGGGAAUAAAUAGAGCCUGAAGAUGUGACUGAAUUACUUCAGUGUCAUGAAAAAACUUGAACAUAUGAGUAGUUACUUUUUAUGGAUGAGCAAAGAAAGUGGAUUCUUGAGAUGGAAUCUACUUCUGAUAAAGAUGCUGUGAACAUUGUUGAAAUGACAACAAUGGGUUUACAUAAACUUAGUGGAUAAAGCAGUGGCAGCAUUUGAGAAAAUUGACUCCAAUUUUAAAAGAAGUUCUAGUAUGGAUAAAAUGAAGCAUUGGAUGCUCCAGAGAAGUUCUUCCCGAAAGGAAGAGUCAAUUGAUGUGGCACACUUCACUGUUGUCUUGUUUUAAGAAAUUGCCACAGGCCACCCUGCCUUCAGCAACCACCACCCUGAUAAGUCAGCAGCCAUCAGUAUUGAGGCAAGACCUCCCACCAGCAAAAGAACUACAGUUUGCUGAAGGCUUAGAUGAUCAUUAACAUUUUUUAGCAAUAGAGUAUUUUUAGAUUAAGUGUUUUUCUGAUGUUCAAGUGGCAGUAGGUGUGGGAAGCCGUUGCAAGCAGUAUCUCCCAAGAGUGAGCUUAUUCUCCUAUUGUAGAUAUCAGGAUAUCAUUGCUUUCCUUUUCUGCACUGUAUCAUGUUUUAGUUAUUUUAUGGAAAUCUAUCAGAGUGGAAGAGCAAAAGGUCAGUUGGAAGAGAAAAAAGAUGAAACUGAAACUAAAAGUGGUUAAAUAUACUUACAUUAGGUAUCAAUUACUACUUGUAUAUUAUCCAUGUUACAUUUUAAAUUUGCAUUGGCUUUUUUGUUGUUCUUUAGGUACCUUGCUAGGAUUAUUGAUUUUGUUCAUUAUGAGCAGAUCUGAGUGCCUAUCAUGUACAUAAUAUUUCUGUGACCAGUUCAUUCAUUGUGCUCAAGUGAUAAUAACCAAUUUUAAUAUUAAUUCUGUAAAACAUAUAGCGCUUAAUAUUCCUCACAUAUGGAGCUUAAUCUUCCCCCACAAAUUUUAUUUUGUAUAUUUUAAUUGCAAAAAUAAAGGAUUUAUUCAUAUUGUAGCUAGUUUGCAUCAGCAUGAAUUAAUAAGUUUCACUAUUUUUCUUGUUAGCAUUUUUAAGUUUUAUUGAAUUAGAUGGGUAAAUGAAUAGUAAUUAUAUUAUCUGCAGUGUAAUUAUCUUUGAUUUCAGUUAUUCACACCAUCUCUUUACAAGUGAUAAUCAAAAAUUAUUUCAAAGUUUGAAAAUUUUUAACAUAAAAUUUCUGCUCAAUUUUUAUACUUUUUAAAUUUCCUUCAAGUAAUAUAUGCACAUAGUUAACAAUAAGAUAGUACCAAAAGACUUAAGGUGAAAAAUAGCAGUCUUCUUUCUAUUUCUGUUCCACUCUACAGUCCUGCACUCCAAAAGCAAUUACUCCUAAUUUUUUCCCCAUUUCUUAAGGUAUUUACCUACAUAAUUUAAAAUAAUAUGGCUCUUCUACUAAUUUUUUGGCUUAAGCAGUUUUCUUAUGAUAAUUGAAGAGUUAGCUCUUUUAUUAUGCCUCUCUCCAUUCUUUCUCCAUUCUCUUGCUAUAGUUAUGUCAUGAAUUUAAAAUCUAUUUUUGGUAUUUAUAUUACUUGAUUAUGGAAAUACUGUUUAUUUGUGAACUAAGUAGUUCACUUUUUUUUUUUAAAGCAUCCAGUGUUACUAUUAAUAAGUAGAAAGCCAUUCUGAUUUCUCUCUGGAAGCGUUCAAGAUUUCCUUUACCCCUGGUGCUCACAAGUUUUGUGAUGCUGUGCUUUGAUAAGUGUCUUUUUUUCAACCUUUGUGCUGAUAUUUGAUGGGUCUUUUUACUUUUUAAUUUUUGGGGAAAAAUUCAUGUGUGUGUUUUUUUUUCUCUUCCCUUUUUUUGAUUCUUUCUGGGCUUCCUGUUAGUUGAAAAUUCUGUUCCCUAGGUUAAUUUGCCUAAUUUUUAAAGUGUUUUUCUCCUAUAGUUUAUCUCUUAGGCUUUUUGUCUUAUUUUUCUAGUUGUCCUUCACUUCAUCUUUCUGUCCGUCUACUGAAUUAUAAAAAUUGUAUUAUCAUAGUUUUAAUUUCUUAGAGGGGUUCCUUAUUCUCUGUUCCCAUUUUAAUAUUAUGUCUUUGAUUCAUGGGUACAACAUCUAUUCUUAUUUUUCUGAGAUUAUUAAUAAGAGUUUAUUGAUGUCAUUCCUCCUACUUCCUAAUUUCUUUUGGCACAUUUUGGUCUUUGCUUUUCUGUUGCAAGCUUUUGUCAGAUUCUUCAAGUCUUAGUUCUUGCAAAAGCAGAAUCUAAAAUACCCUAUCUUUGGUUUAUUUGGAAGGUGAUUCCAGGAAUUAUAAUGAGAGAAUAAGGAGGUGAGACAGGGAAGAGAAGAAGUCCAGUAAAAGGUGUAUUGAUUUUGUGGGUUAUCGUUUGGAGCAGCUGGAGCUCAAUACUGCUGGAGACUUUCAGAGAGACUGUGUAGAACUGCACUGUCUAAUACUAAUCACUAGCUACAUAUGGCUAUUAAAAUUAAAAUUAAAAUGAAUGAAAUUAAGUAAAAUUAGAGAUUCAGUUUGCAUUCACACCAGCCACACUUUAAGUGCAGAUGUAGAACAUUAGACAGUGCAGAUAUAGAACACUCCAAUUCAGUCCAGUCCAGUGCAGAUAUAGGACAUUUCCAUCAUGGUUUAUAACAUACCUUAGAAUUGUACCAUGGAGGUUCAGGAAAACUGACCUAUUUAUCUACCAUCAUCUGUCCCUUAUUGAUUAAGAGUUGCUCCUAGAGUUACUGACUCCCUGUCACUUAUGGCCUGCGCCACACAGGGGCUGUGUCAUUUCUGCUACCUUACUCAUUUCCACUGGGUACCUAGUAACACCAAAUGCAGAGUUUCUCUAGUUCAUUUUUUUCUAGAGAUCCAAAUCCUGGUCUUCUGUCAGUCUGAGGCAAGUAGUCACUUGACUGAAUGUGGUGGAGGGAAGAUAGUCUUUUAUAAGUAUGCAGAUUUUUAACCAAAUUGCUCAUAUUUUUUUGGGGAAAUCUUACCCCAGUAUCCCAUGGCAACUGUUACAUUCGAGUUCCAAGCCUUUGGAGGAUUCCAUGGAGUAAAUUGACUUCUUAUUCUUGUCCUUUACCACAGGCAUUCUGAUUGCAGUUUUCCCUGAUCUGCAAAUUACUACCACUCUGUAGCUUAAGAAAAAUUAUGAUAUAUAGUAUUUCAAACAUGUGGAGAAGUAUAAAGAAAAAAUAUGCUUGCAAUUCAUAUAGUGCUGGGAUAAAUUCAACUAAGCCCUGUAGGGUUGUCUUUUUUUUUUUAAUACCAGGAAUCUUUUGUUUAAAUUUUAGGAGACUUGUCACCACUCAGUGAUAUCAAGGCUGCUGGGGUUAUUAUGUCCUUUUUCUUCUCCUUUGCUGUGUUUAGGUGGCUACUAGUUUAUUGAGAAAUUUUUGGUCUAUUUGCAUAAGAGAUCUUAGCAUAUUAUAAUGUUCUUUCUAUGUAACAUUUGUCUGCAUUUGGUUUUGAUGUCCAGGUAACACUAGAUUUAUGAAAAAAGUUUGUGUUACCUCUUUUUCCGUUAUGUGGAACAGUUUGUACAAAAUUAAUAUUAGUUGUUCCUUAAAUGCUUGGUUGAACUACCCAGUUUAGGCCCGGUUGUUUGUGUGUGUGUGUGUGUGUGAGACAUUCCUUCUUACUAGUUUAAUAUUUUUCUUUUUAAAACACCUUAAAUGUAGUUUUUUCAGUUAGAGUCUGUUAGUGGUAAGUUCUUUUUGUGUUUCUGGAAGUUUCUUUGUUUAACUCUCACUCUUGGAUGAUAGUUUAGCUGGGUAUAGAAUUCUGACAAGUCUGUUUUGAGUUUUUUCUUCCUUAAAUCUUUUGAAAAUUUUCUAAGUUUUUUCUUAUUUUCAGUUUGGCUUGAUGACCAUGUGGCUUGAUAUGUGGCCUGAAUCUUACUUAAAUAUUAGGUCUAUAGAUUUAACAAGUGAAAACUAAUUUUUAUAAUUCAUUUCCUAGUUUUUAUUUAGAUACCAGCAAUAUUCAUGAUAAAAAGUACCAUAUAGUCUCAGAUAUCUUUAAUUUUAAUGGUUAGAAUUAUGUUAAAAUAUUAAACCAGCAUGUCUGAAUCAUGACUACAUAAUAAAGCCUAUUGAUUUAAUUGGUUUGAGGUGGGAGUCCAAGCCUGUAUUUUCUUUCAGUGUGCUCAAAUAAUUCUAAUGUGCAGCCAGAGGUUAAAGAACAUGAAGUUACAAAUUGAGCUGUAAAUUCAGAGAUAUUCUAAUACAAAUCUCAACUGUCUUUUUCUUUUUGUUUUGUUUUUAUUUAAAAAGUUGGCAGCCUAAAUUCAAAAUGUAUGUGGAAAGACAGAUCAAUAGUCAAAGCAAUAAAAAAGAAGUACAUCAUUGGAUUUAUAGUUCCUGAUUUUGAGAUUUACUUAAAGACAAUGUGGUAUUAGUGAUAGAAUGGAUAUUAUGGACAAUAGACCCACACAUACAUAUUCAGUUGGUUUUUGGCAAAGGUGGUAGGGCAUUUCAAAGGAGGAAGUAAUAAUAUUUACAACAAAUGUGCUGGAAAAACUGUAUAAUACGUAUGUAAUAAAAUGUAUACUGACUCUUACCUCACAUCAUGCAGGAAAGGUGAACUUAAAAUGUGUCAUAGACCUAAAUUUAAAACUAAAAAAAGCUGUAAGACAUCUAGAA
This 4931-nucleotide long non-coding RNA is filed under the name Homo sapiens (human). RNAcentral describes it as "HSALNT0361544". The stretch from base 360 to 425 matches the Rfam family "mir-1255 microRNA precursor family". Lineage: Eukaryota; Metazoa; Chordata; Mammalia; Primates; Hominidae. The record is from RNAcentral.